Molecule: non-coding RNA, 111 nt
Organism: Paenibacillus sp. Soil522
Lineage: Bacteria; Bacillati; Bacillota; Bacilli; Caryophanales; Paenibacillaceae
Source: Rfam
AGGUAAUGUCUCCUGUACCUAUAUCACUGGAGGCACUCGGUCAUGCUGUGGGUCGAUAGACCUUAGACGUAAAUCGUCAAGAGUGUGACGUGAGGAUGGGUUUGAUGCCUG